Molecule: long non-coding RNA, 777 nt
Organism: Monodelphis domestica (gray short-tailed opossum)
Lineage: Eukaryota; Metazoa; Chordata; Mammalia; Didelphimorphia; Didelphidae
Source: RefSeq, a predicted model, not a curated record
UGGCGGGGGAGAAUGGGGAGGGGGUGACCUUGAACCGGAAAGCAAAGAGUAAAUACCGAACCUGAGGAGCAAUUAGUCCCGGGCUGGCCCCCACCAGUCGCUCGGAAUGUGUUGUGUGUCCCCCUUGUGGUUGGUACAAAGUUGAUUUCAGCAGGUGACUUUAUUAUAAAGCUUACCAUUUUCCGAGUGUCCUCAGUAGGUGGAGAUGCCAAAACAGCACGGAGAUCUGUCUAGUUGUUGUUGCUGGGUGUGCUGUUUUUUUUUUUUUUGAUCUUAGACGAAGGCUAAAAAUGCCUAAUUGUUUUUCAACGAGAAAUAAAUUAGCAGACGCCCUGAUGGGGCUAUUUCCUUCCUGUUAACUUACUGAAAGAAGAAAACAAGGUAUUCACUGGACAGAAUUUAAUUCUUCUGGACUAGCAGAUAUCUGAGUUCACAGGCCCCCCGAGGACUAAGUAGACCCCAGGUACAGAAUUCCUGGACCACCUAUUCCUGAAUGAAGGUGGGGAGAGAUCGUUAUGGCUUACUCUUCAUGACAAGCUGGGUUCAAUAGGGAUGAGACAGAAAAGAGAAAGAGAAAGCACUCUGUCCUCAGAUACUAUGGGAGGGGACUCCUCUUCCAGGCAAUAAAAUUAUUCCUCUCCAGCAUCCCCGUUAGCCAUGAACUCCUAUCAAUACAAGUAAAGUUUGGUUAAAAUUAUUUUAUCUUAUCUACUUGUUUUUCACUCAUGUCUAUGCAUUAUUAAUGUUUAUUUUGUAAAAUACAACUUCAUUAACACA